AUCAACGCAAUGAUGUGAAGUAGUAGGCGGCCAUACCGAUCCAGAGAGGUGCCGGUUGGUGCAAGGUAUCCGAAGAGUAUGCUGCCGAACUCGUCACGGAGCGGCUGCGCAGAAGUUUUUCAGUAAGCGCAGACGGGCGGCCGCCCGUUACAGCGGCGGGGAUAUGUCUGUAUCCCCUAUAAGAGCAUUCUUUUUAGAAUGAAUGAAGAGUGGUACCGCGGAAGCCUUCCCCUUUCGUCUCUUCU
This is a regulatory RNA element of Cloacibacillus evryensis DSM 19522, 245 nucleotides long. It matches the Rfam family "T-box leader". Rfam says of the family: Uncharged tRNA acts as the effector for transcription antitermination of genes in the T-box leader family. NCBI's taxonomy places the organism in Bacteria, Thermotogati, Synergistota, Synergistia, Synergistales, Synergistaceae. The record is from Rfam.